This 301-nucleotide ribosomal RNA is filed under the name uncultured bacterium. RNAcentral describes it as "partial 16S ribosomal RNA". It matches the Rfam family "Bacterial small subunit ribosomal RNA", at positions 509 to 807 of the family's 1533-position model. The record is from RNAcentral.
CAGUCGCCGCGGGAAUACGAAGGGGGCUAGCGCUGCUCGGAAUCACUGGGCGUAAAGGGUGCGUAGGCGGGUCUUUAAGUCAGGGGUGAAAUCCUGGAGCUCAACUCCAGAACUGCCUUUGAUACUGAAGAUCUUGAGUUCGGGAGAGGUGAGUGGAGCUGCGAGUGUAGAGGUGAAAUUCGUAGAUAUUCGCAAGAACACCAGUGGCGAAGGCGGCUCACUGGCCCGAUACUGACGCUGAGGCACGAAAGCGUGGGGAGCAAACAGGAUUAGAUACCCCUGUAGUCCCUGUCUCUUAUAC